RNAcentral lists this transfer RNA (67 nucleotides) under Diptera sp. 74 LC-2017. Its description in RNAcentral is "tRNA-His". Lineage: Eukaryota; Metazoa; Arthropoda; Insecta; Diptera. The record is from RNAcentral.
AUUUAAAUAGUUUAAUUAAAAAUUUUGAUUUGUGGUAUCAAAGAUAUAAAAAUAUUUAUUUUAAAUA